Molecule: ribosomal RNA, 468 nt
Filed under: uncultured bacterium
Lineage: Bacteria
Description: partial 16S ribosomal RNA
Rfam family: Bacterial small subunit ribosomal RNA
Source: RNAcentral
GACGAACGCUGGCGGCGUGCUUAACACAUGCAAGUCGAACGGAAAGGCCCUGCUUUUGUGGGGUGCUCGAGUGGCGAACGGGUGAGUAACACGUGAGUAACCUGCCCUUGACUUUGGGAUAACUUCAGGAAACUGGGGCUAAUACCGGAUAGGAGCUCCUGCUGCAUGGUGGGGGUUGGAAAGUUUCGGCGGUUGGGGAUGGACUCGCGGCUUAUCCGCUUGUUGGUGGGGUCGUGGCUUACCAAGGCUUUGACGGGUAGCCGGCCUGCGAGGGUGACCGGCCACAUUGGGACUGAGAUACGGCCCAGACUCCUACGGGAGGCAGCAGUGGGGAAUAUUGCACAAUGGGCGGAAGCCUGAUGCAGCAACGCCGCGUGCGGGAUGACGGCCUUCGGGUUGUAAACCGCUUUCGCCUGUGACGAAGCGUGAGUGACGGUAAUGGGUAAAGAAGCACCGGCUAACUACGUG